This 292-nucleotide ribosomal RNA is filed under the name uncultured bacterium. RNAcentral's name for it is "partial 16S ribosomal RNA". It matches the Rfam family "Bacterial small subunit ribosomal RNA", at positions 505 to 796 of the family's 1533-position model. The record is from RNAcentral.
GUGCCAGCAGCCGCGGUAAUACGGAGGAGGCAAGCGUUAUCCGGAAUUAUUGGGCGUAAAGCGUCCGUAGGUGGUUGUUCAAGUCUUCUGUCAAAGCGCGGAGCUUAACUCCGUAAAGGCAGAGGAAACUGAGCGGCUAGAGUGCGAUAGGGGCAGAGGGAAUUCCCAGUGUAGCGGUGAAAUGCGUAGAUAUUGGGAAGAACACCGGUGGCGAAAGCGCUCUGCUGGGUCUGCACUGACACUGAGGGACGAAAGCUAGGGGAGCGAAAGGGAUUAGAUACCCUUGUAGUCC